RNAcentral lists this transfer RNA (72 nucleotides) under bacterium CG2_30_40_12. Its description in RNAcentral is "tRNA-Gly". It matches the Rfam family "tRNA". Rfam says of the family: Transfer RNA (tRNA) molecules are approximately 80 nucleotides in length. RNAcentral also lists the same sequence under 5 other names. The record is from RNAcentral.
GCGGCGGUAGUUCAGCGGUAGAAUGUCUCCCUUCCAAGGAGAAGGUCGCCAGUUCAAAUCUGGUCCGCCGCU